AGAGUUUGAUCAUGGCUCAGGACGAACGCUGGCGGCGUGCCUAACACAUGCAAGUCGAGCGGAUCAGACUGCAGACUGGAGAUAUCAGACAGGAGAAAGUUGUUAUCUGAUAUCUGCAAUCUGCGGUCUGGUUAGCGGCGGACGGGUGAGUAACACGUGGGCAACCUGCCUUAAGGAGGGGGAUAACACUAAGAAAUUGGUGCUAAUACCGCAUAAAACCGUAGGGUUGCAUGACCUUACGGUCAAAGGAGAAAUCCGCCUUAAGAUGGGCCCGCGUCCCAUUAGCUGGUUGGUGAGGUAACGGCUCACCAAGGCGACGAUGGGUAGCCGACCUGAGAGGGUGAUCGGCCACAUUGGAACUGAGACACGGUCCAGACUCCUACGGGAGGCAGCAGUGGGGAAUAUUGCACAAUGGGGGAAACCCUGAUGCAGCGACGCCGCGUGAGCUAAGAAGGCCUUCGGGUUGUAAAGCUCUGUCUUCAGGGACGAUAAUGACGGUACCUGAGGAGGAAGCCACGGCUAACUACGUGCCAGCAGCCGCGGUAAUACGUAGGUGGCGAGCGUUGUCCGGAAUUACUGGGCGUAAAGGGUGCGCAGGCGGCUUUUUAAGUGAGAUGUGAAAUCCAUGGGCUCAACCCAUGAAUUGCAUUUCAAACUGGAGAGCUUGAGUGCAGGAGAGGAAAGCGGAAUUCCCAGUGUAGCGGUGAAAUGCGUAGAGAUUGGGGAGGAACACCAGUGGCGAAAGGCGGCUUUCUGGACUGUAACUGACGCUGAGGCACGAAAGCGUGGGGAGCAAACAGGAUUAGAUACCCUGGUAGUCCACGCCGUAAACUAUGGGUACUAGGUGUAGGGGGCGCAGCCCUCUGUGCCGGAGUUACACAUUAAGUACCCCGCCUGGGAAGUACGAUCGCAGAAUUAAAACUCAAAUGAAUUGACGG
Molecule: ribosomal RNA, 938 nt
Filed under: uncultured bacterium
Lineage: Bacteria
Description: bacterial SSU rRNA
Rfam family: Bacterial small subunit ribosomal RNA
Source: RNAcentral